This 75-nucleotide transfer RNA is filed under the name Candidatus Omnitrophota bacterium. RNAcentral's name for it is "Candidatus Omnitrophica bacterium tRNA-Gln". It matches the Rfam family "tRNA". Rfam says of the family: Transfer RNA (tRNA) molecules are approximately 80 nucleotides in length. The record is from RNAcentral. Lineage: Bacteria; Pseudomonadati; Candidatus Omnitrophota.
UGCCCGGUGGUGUAAUUGGCAACACACUUGACUCUGGAUCAAGCAUUCCUGGUUCGAGUCCAGGCCGGGCAGCCA